Molecule: ribosomal RNA, 465 nt
Filed under: uncultured Arsenophonus sp.
Lineage: Bacteria; Pseudomonadati; Pseudomonadota; Gammaproteobacteria; Enterobacterales; Morganellaceae
Description: bacterial SSU rRNA
Rfam family: Bacterial small subunit ribosomal RNA
Source: RNAcentral
CCUACGGGCGGCAGCAGUGGGGAAUAUUGCACAAUGGGCGCAAGCCUGAUGCAGCCAUGCCGCGUGUAUGAAGAAGGCCUUCGGGUUGUAAAGUACUUUCAGUCGUGAGGAAGGUGUUAAGGUUAAUAACCUUAGCAAUUGACGUUAGCGACAGAAGAAGCACCGGCUAACUCCGUGCCAGCAGCCGCGGUAAUACGGAGGGUGCGAGCGUUAAUCGGAAUUACUGGGCGUAAAGGGCACGCAGGCGGUUAAUUAGUUUGGAGGGGAAAUCCCCGGGCUUAACCUGGGAAUGGCAUUCAAGACUGGUGAGCGAGAGUCUGGUAGGGGGGGGUAGAAUUCCAUGUGUAGCGGUGAAAUGCGGAGAGAUGGGGAGGAAUACCGGGGGCGAGGGCGGCACCCUGGACAAAGACUGACGCUCAUGUGCGAAAGCGUGGGGAGAAAACAGGAUUAGAUACCCUGGUAGUC